UACGUAGGGUGCGAGCGUUAAUCGGAAUUACUGGGCGUAAAGCGUGCGCAGGCGGCUUUGCAAGACAGAUGUGAAAUCCCCGGGCUCAACCUGGGAACUGCAUUUGUGACUGCAGGGCUGGAGUGCGGCAGAGGGGGAUGGAAUUCCGCGUGUAGCAGUGAAAUGCGUAGAUAUGCGGAGGAACACCGAUGGCGAAGGCAAUCCCCUGGGCCUGCACUGACGCUCAUGCACGAAAGCGUGGGGAGCAAACAGG
Molecule: ribosomal RNA, 253 nt
Filed under: uncultured bacterium
Lineage: Bacteria
Description: partial 16S ribosomal RNA
Rfam family: Bacterial small subunit ribosomal RNA
Source: RNAcentral